UACGUAGGUGGCAAGCGUUGUUCGGAAUUAUUGGGCGUAAAGCGCGUGUAGGCGGCCCGGUAAGUCCGCUGUGAAAGUCGGGGGCUCAACCCUCGAAAGCCGGUGGAUACUGUCGGGCUAGAGUACGGAAGAGGCGAGUGGAAUUCCUGGUGUAGCGGUGAAAUGCGCAGAUAUCAGGAGGAACACCCAUUGCGAAGGCAGCUCGCUGGGACGUUACUGACGCUGAGACGCGAAAGCGUGGGGAGCAAACAGG
Molecule: ribosomal RNA, 253 nt
Filed under: uncultured bacterium
Lineage: Bacteria
Description: partial 16S ribosomal RNA
Rfam family: Bacterial small subunit ribosomal RNA
Source: RNAcentral